This 259-nucleotide ribosomal RNA is filed under the name uncultured bacterium. RNAcentral describes it as "partial 16S rRNA". It matches the Rfam family "Bacterial small subunit ribosomal RNA", at positions 505 to 763 of the family's 1533-position model. The record is from RNAcentral.
GUGUCAGCCGCCGCGGUAAUACGUAGGGUGCGAGCGUUGUCCGGAAUUACUGGGCGUAAAGAGCUCGUAGGCGGUUUGUCGCGUCGUCUGUGAAAUUCUGCAGCUUAACUGCAGGCGUGCAGGCGAUACGGGCAGACUUGAGUACUACAGGGGAGACUGGAAUUCCUGGUGUAGCGGUGAAAUGCGCAGAUAUCAGGAGGAACACGGGUGGCGAAGGCGGGUCUCUGGGUAGUAACUGACGCUGAGGAGCGAAAGCGUG